RNAcentral lists this unclassified non-coding RNA (691 nucleotides) under Hevea brasiliensis (rubber tree). The record is from RNAcentral. Lineage: Eukaryota; Viridiplantae; Streptophyta; Magnoliopsida; Malpighiales; Euphorbiaceae.
UAAAUUGAUUAAUUCUAAUGAUGUCUAAGAAUGAUGAAUUUAAUGUCAUUAUUUGAUGCAUUUAUGCUUACUAUUUAGUUGUAUUUCUUAGUUUUACUUGUAUCUUCAAAUAUUUAUUAAUUUUAUAAACUUUGCAAUUUAAAAAAAAAAAAUUGCUAGUGAUAGGCUGUUACCAUUGCAUAAUAGCCAUUACAAGUCUGUUUCCAUUACUUGUGACCGUGACUGUGAACGCGAUUUAUUUGCACCUCUAAAAUUUUUAAAAUUGAAAUUUUUUCUAUAAAUGUGUAAUUUAAAAAAGAAAAAAAAAACUUUCCCUUGCUUCUCUAAUUUUACUUUUUUAUCAUAUCAACAAGUAAUAAAUACUUCCGUGCAUUUUUUUAAAUACUUCCUAGACUUAUGGAAGAUAUUCAGCCAUAUAUUUGUAUUCUGGGGAUAGAUUCACACUUAAUAAGACAAAAUCAAGGAGUUGAAAGGUUAAGUAGAACUAGGGCCAAGCAGAAAUUAGUUUUUAUCGAAAAAUCGAACUGAACCGAAAUUUUUGGCUUACUUCUAUCCUAAAUUUCAGUUUGGUUUGAUCUUUUCAUUUUUCAUUUUUUGGUUUUUACAGUUCAGUUUGGUUCAUAUUUUAAGAAACCAUUUGCACACCACUAAGUAGAACAAACCUUCAAAUCAAUGGCUCAAUAUCAAAAUA